This 425-nucleotide unclassified non-coding RNA is filed under the name soil metagenome. Its description in RNAcentral is "partial contains 5.8S ribosomal RNA, internal transcribed spacer 2, and large subunit ribosomal RNA". The stretch from base 1 to 120 matches the Rfam family "5.8S ribosomal RNA", at positions 35 to 154 of the family's 154-position model. The record is from RNAcentral.
GAUGAAGAACGUAGCGAAAUGCGAUAAGUAAUGUGAAUUGCAGAAUUCAGUGAAUCAUCGAAUCUUUGAACGCACCUUGCGCUCCUUGGUAUUCCAAGGAGCAUGCCUGUUUGAGUAUCAUUAAAUUAUCAACUGUGCCAAUUUGGUUACAGAUUGGAUGUGGGAGAUUCUUUUUGCAGGCCUUUGACUUCUCUUUGAGAAAAAAAAAAAAAGGUCGGCUCUCCUGAAAUGUAUUAGCAGUGCCUUUGUUGGUUCAUUAGGUGUGAUAAAUUGUCUACAUCUUCGCAUGAUACCUUCAUUUGUAAAGGUCAUAUUGCUUCUAAAUUGUCUUUGAUUGGACGCAAAACAUAUAUAAUGUUUGACAAACUUGAUCUCAAAUCAGGCAGGACUACCCGCUGAACUUAAGCAUAUCAAUAAGCGGAGGA